RNAcentral lists this ribosomal RNA (495 nucleotides) under uncultured bacterium. RNAcentral describes it as "bacterial SSU rRNA". It matches the Rfam family "Bacterial small subunit ribosomal RNA", at positions 29 to 511 of the family's 1533-position model. The record is from RNAcentral.
AACGAACGCUGGCGGCAUGCUUAACACAUGCAAGUUGAGCGAGAACCGGAGGGCUUGCUCUUUGGGGACAGCAGCGCACGGGUGAGUAACGCGUGGAUAACGUGCCCUAGGGUUGGGAAUAACUCGCCGAAAGGUGAGCUAAAUGCCGAAUGUGUUCCAAUAAGGUGCGCCUAUUUGGAAGAAAGCGGGGCAACCCGCGCCCAAGGAUCGGUCCGCGUUCCAUCAGCUAGUUGGUGAGGUAAUGGCUCACCAAGGCUACGACGGAUAGCUGGUCUGAGAGGAUGAUCAGCCACACUGGGACUGAGAUACGGCCCAGACUCCUACGGGAGGCAGCAGUGGGGAAUAUUGGUCAAUGGGCGAAAGCCUGAACCAGCAAUGCCGCGUGAGUGAUGAAGGCCUUAGGGUUGUAAAGCUCUGUCAGUGGGAACGAAUAAGUCGGUUAAUACCCGAUGGUGACGGUACCCACAAAGGAAGCACCGGCUAACUCUGUGCCAG